This 350-nucleotide unclassified non-coding RNA is filed under the name Ceratocystis manginecans. Its description in RNAcentral is "partial contains ITS1, 5.8S rRNA and ITS2". The stretch from base 25 to 178 matches the Rfam family "5.8S ribosomal RNA". Lineage: Eukaryota; Fungi; Ascomycota; Sordariomycetes; Microascales; Ceratocystidaceae. The record is from RNAcentral.
GUGGCAUAACUAUAAAAAAGUUAAAACUUUCAACAACGGAUCUCUUGGCUCUAGCAUCGAUGAAGAACGCAGCGAAAUGCGAUAAGUAAUGUGAAUUGCAGAAUUCAGUGAAUCAUCGAAUCUUUGAACGCACAUUGCGCCUGGCAGUAUUCUGCCAGGCAUGCCUGUCCGAGCGUCAUUUCACCACUCAAGACUCUUUUGUUCUUGGCGUUGGAGGUCCUGUUCUCCCCUGAACAGGCCGCCGAAAUGUAUCGGCUGUUAUACUUGCCAACUCCCCUGUGUAGUAUAAAAUUUCUAAUUUUUCACACUUUGAAGUUCUUGUGUAACACGCCGCUAAACCCGCUCAACUU